Long non-coding RNA from Formica exsecta, 1398 nucleotides. RefSeq lists it as uncharacterized. NCBI's taxonomy places the organism in Eukaryota, Metazoa, Arthropoda, Insecta, Hymenoptera, Formicidae. The record is from RefSeq and is a predicted model, not a curated record. The transcript is spliced from 4 exons.
GGCGCAUUCUUUUGAUUAACGCGCCGACAACCGUGCGAGUAGUCUCCGUCCGAUCAGCGAGGAGAGGGAGGAGGCGACGGCCUUCUCUCGCGGUUUAGUUAACAACAUGCUCGCUCGACCACUUACGAAUCAUCGACCUUCGAUCGCAUUGACUUUGUCGUCCUGAUGGCGGCCGACGAGGCAACUUCACAGUCCAACCGAGAAUCCAAUUCAGAUAGUUCUAUGUGUUGUGGAAUGGUUUCACAUUAUCAGCAACAAAUCGACGUAUAUGAAAAUUGAGAGUUACUGAAAAGCGAAUGAAGAAGCAACAUAACGAUGGGGGUCAGCACCGAACAAGGUUUGCUCUUGAUGGUUAACACAAACGUUUCGUUAAACCUCGAUGCAGUAUGUUUGACUGGGUUCAUCAAUGACGGCUUUCGCUAGCGAUUAGAGGCAAAUGGUUCAGUCAGAGCAUCCGACGAUUACUCUUUACUGAUGUUUCCAUAUUGAUUUAGCUGCCUUUUGUACACGUAAAAUAGAGGUAGUGUUACAAUACAGUUAACUCAGUAUUGCUGAAAUAAAUUAUCUAUACCGACUCUAUGAAACGAAUUGUUCUUUUUUUAAAUACUGAAAUAGUACGAUCACACACUCACACACAUACACAUAACGUAUUAUCGUUAUCGAUCCAUUUAUUAUAGAUUAAUAGUUAUAAAUUUAUUCCAAGCUGGCUUCACUUUAAUUGAUUGGAAAAUUAAAAAAUUUUUGUGCAAUUUAUCGCGUACAUUUAUUAUAAAAUUCCUUUAUUUAUAUACAGUAAUAGAAAAGAGGCUUACUUUAAAUCUUUCCAUUUUUAAAAUAUCAAAAUUUUAAUAAAUUCAAUCAUCUCAAAUUGUUCUUUAUUGUACAUAUUUUUCAAUAUUGUUAUCGAUUUAUGUUAUUAAUAUCGAUUUUAUAUAUACAGAAGUUCUAUCGCUCUCUGGAAUAGCAAUACAACACAUUUGCAAAUAUGUAUGUAUAAAUUAUAAUGACUUCCGAAAUUAUACAUUACAACGAUAUGAAUAUUUAGUUUUAUUUUAUUAGUUGAUGCAUUUCUAUUUCAUAAACGGGACAUAAGCACGCGAAUUUAUAAUUUUUUGCACAAUCAGCAUAAAAUAUUUAAUGCAGCAGGGCAAUGUCAAUGGGGUUAUGCUGACUAUAAUACUAGAACCAAUGAUGAAAGCAGUUAUAAAGAAUCUCUAAGCUCUCUCAAGUAUAUAAAGUUUAAAUCUUCUCAAGACGAAAUCCAGCAAAUCCGCCGGCAUAAGUAGGAUUUAUGUUAGACAGGAGAAACGAUGUCUGACACGGUACCAAAGUAGGACAACCUAAACACAUAGCCUAACAACGGAACGAAAGAAUCUUUAUUGUUUUGCAAAAUCUGCA